AUACUUAACCUGGCAGGGGAGAUACCAUGAUCACAAAAGUGGAUUUCCCAGGGCAAGGCUUAUCCAUUGCCCUCUGGUGUGCUGACUUCUGCAAACGUCCCAAAUGUGAGACUGCAUAAUUUGUGGGAGUGGGGGACGGUUUUCAGGUUUUCACACUCUCCUCUG
Small nuclear RNA from Otolemur garnettii (small-eared galago), 165 nucleotides. Its record names the gene U1. It matches the Rfam family "U1 spliceosomal RNA". Rfam says of the family: U1 is a small nuclear RNA (snRNA) component of the spliceosome (involved in pre-mRNA splicing). Its 5' end forms complementary base pairs with the 5' splice junction, thus defining the 5' donor site of an intron. There are significant differences in sequence and secondary structure between metazoan and yeast U1 snRNAs, the latter being much longer (568 nucleotides as compared to 164 nucleotides in human). The record is from Ensembl. NCBI's taxonomy places the organism in Eukaryota, Metazoa, Chordata, Mammalia, Primates, Galagidae.